RNAcentral lists this long non-coding RNA (664 nucleotides) under Ananas comosus (pineapple). RNAcentral describes it as "long non-coding RNA (ACOM_LNC005110)". The record is from RNAcentral. Lineage: Eukaryota; Viridiplantae; Streptophyta; Magnoliopsida; Poales; Bromeliaceae.
AAUUUUAUUAUCUGAUUUUGCAAUUUGUUUGCUUUAAGUAAUUUGAUAGUUUUUCAUAUUCAAAUUUUGAAAUAUUUAAAUUUAUAGUUAUAUAAAUUAUAUAAAAUAUGCUAACUAAAUUCGUAAAAAUAAACAAUAAGUUCAAACUUUGAAGUAACUCAAAUUAAAUAAAUUAAAAGGUCUGAUAGUAAUUCAAAAUUUUUAAAGCUUAGAUAGUUGGAUGUAAAAGGAUGCAUGAUUGUUGAGAUAAAUUUUAUAUAUAUAUUAUUUAAAAAACUAUUACCGUUUGGUUCGGGGUUAAGGAACAACUAGUUAUUCUAGGGAUAGGGUUAAGUUCAGGGUUAAGAUGGUGUUAGAGUAUUUUUGUGUUUGAUUGAGGAUUGGUUGGGGAUUGGAGUUAGUCCAGAAUAGUAAAAAAUAGUGUUUGGUUGAAGUAGCUGGGAUAAGAAGGAUAGUGAGUUAUUAUGAAUAAAAAAUAAUAUUUGGUUGGGAUUUGGUAGGGUUAGGUGGGGUAGCUAACUCCACCUAAAAUGGGCUAUCUCGGGUUAGAUGGGGUUAGCUAAUCCCAUCUAUUUUUUGAGAUGUUUGGGGAUAAUAUAGAGGUUAAGGGAUAAUUCCACCCCUUAACCCCCAGCCAAACAAAGGUUUUAUUAAGGUACUAAUA